RNAcentral lists this long non-coding RNA (2960 nucleotides) under Heterocephalus glaber (naked mole-rat). Its description in RNAcentral is "lncRNA (ENSHGLG00100051384.1)". Lineage: Eukaryota; Metazoa; Chordata; Mammalia; Rodentia; Bathyergidae. The record is from RNAcentral.
AGUGAGAAAUGACGCACGUCUAGCCUUGUGCUAGAAAUGGCUCUUCUUAGAUAUUUCUUAUGAGUUGUCCAGCCUCAUUCCCACAGCAGCUAUGUAAAACUGCCCAUACCUGCCCCUAAACUGAGGAUAUUAUUGUCUACUCCUUAGUCACACACGACCCCAGAUCCUACUUUACAGGAAGGUGUGGGCAUUCGACUUCAACUGUGCCUGGGCCUUCAGCAGUGCCUGCAGCAGUGCCUGCCUUCCCACCCUUCCUCCCCGCUCCGCUCUGCUUCUGGGGAACCCAGCCCUCCCUGUGCUCAAGGCUGCUCUUGUGCUCCCCUCCCCGAGUACCUGCUUUGCCUACCUGCUUUGCCGAUGCCCUUUCCUUGCUCUUCCGGCUCCGCCCCUUCUCACUGGUCUGCCGGUCGAGGCACGUGACGCUCCUGUCCAGCCCAGGUCUGGUACUCGCUCUGCAGUCCUUCAUAGAGAGGAAAGGCAAGAUGGCAGGAGGCCAGGGAAAGAGGGAGAACAGAAGCCAAGAGGCGUGGACUCACAUCCUGCUCUUUUGUGGUCACCCAAUACCAUUUGAUUGUUUUCCUCUUCCAUAAAAUCCCUAAGCUGCGGUCACGACUGCCUGCCAUCCAUACCUCCUGGGGUCACUGUGACAGUUAAAUAAAUUAACGUGAGUUGGAGCAGUUCUUCUUAGGUUAGCUAUGGGAAGGACUGGUUUGUUUCUUUUCUUUUUUAAAAAAAUUAAUGAGAUCUCACAGUGCUUUAGAUUUCCUUGAGUUUUGCCUAAGGCCCUGUGUCUUUCCAACUCCCUUCCAGUUACGUGGCGGUCGGUCCCCACAUCCCCUUGGCUCCUCUGGGCUGUGGCGUUCCCAGGUGUGUCUGUCUGUGUCUGACGCCUUGGCAGGUUGGGGCAGCACUGGCCUGGUGUUCUGUAGAGCUACCCACUGCUGGAGUCUGAUGUUUUCCUCAUGGGGAGACUGAACCUCCGGUGGCUGGGAGGAGGACAGACAGGCAAACUGCAACUGUCACCACCCAGCAGGGGCAGAAACUGUCAGGAGACGGUUUGUGUGGACCUUGGCUAACCGCUGGAGGGUGAUGCAUUUCUUUUUAUUUCCGUGUCGUAGCUGGCCUUACUGUACAUCACAGGCACAGAUCUACAAGGCAAAUCCUCGACCAAGCGAGGUCACCAGUCACGGCACGCGUGGGGACUGUGGCCAUGUCACGGUGCCGUAGGCGUCUGUGUUUCCUCUCAGCUCACCUGCUUAUCCCACAUUGCUGCCUGGCAGACCUGCCUGGAGCUGUGUCAUACGCUGGGUGGCAUUGUGCUAACACCUACAACACGGGGGCGCUCAAUGAAUCAUUCUAAAGCACACCGAGGGAUUCAGACACAAAAGGCAGAUGUGAGCUGGAAUCCUGAAGUCACUAUGGGCAGAAGAGGAAGGGGCCCCAGGGAGAAUCUUCCCACUCCCUUCUCCUACUGACACAGAAGUGGAGUCCUAGGGGACGGGAGGCUGUGCGGCCCUGGGAAUGUGGUGGCCACCUGCUCCCGGCCAGGUCCUUGCUCCUCACUGGUGUGCUUCCCACCAUCCGACUCUAAGAAGAACCUCUGCGGGCCCUAGAGGAAGAGCAGGACGGACAUCAAAGGGCUGAGAUCUACCGGCGAGCCCAAUUUCUCGCUGACCUUCUAACUUCCCACCACUUCAUCAAAACUUAAAUGAACAGCUGAAGACAUGAAGACGCUGGAGGAGAAGCAGAACUGACCACUUGGAUAUAACUGAUAUUUCAAUCAUCGGGGCCAGUUUACACUUUGGAGAUAGCUACGUCAGUCUCUCGGUCCUGUCACAGUCAGAGGCAAAGAAGCUCAAAGCUGAGGAUGGAAAGCCCCUUAGUAGGUGAUGGAACCAGAGAGAGAGGAUGAAGUUCUAGAGAAAUAAGAAUUCAGGCCUGAGAGAUUUGCUCAUUGUCUUCUUUUCCAUGGAUUUGGGAUUGGAUUAGACGAUAUUUAGUAGACUCCCGGUGGGAAAAUUCCCUUAUGAUGCCAGAAAGGGCUCUUGGAAAAUGGGGAACAGGAGUCUUGGGUAGACCAUCCCUGGCUGUUCCUGUCACGAGCUGUGGAAGCCCCAGCCCUCAUAGAGAUAUGCUACAGAAUUUGGCAAUCCAGAGAGCCAGAUUGUGACGUGAAUAUUAUUCCAUGGAAUUCACAGAGUGGAGUGUUCUGACACAGUGACAGAGAUCUAGCUGCUUUCUCUGAGAAGGAACUCCACUUUACAUCAUAACCUACCUUUGACUUGCAUGGGAGAGCUGGCACUAGAAGAAUGUUUGAAUGAAAACUGCAGCGCAAACUGCAGAAACAUUCUGAAAAGUGUGCUUGGCUUCUAACAACAAGUUCUUCUUAGGACAAAGUUGAGGACUUUCCAGGACCUAACUUUCAACAGAACUACAUGGCAAUAUCUUGACCAAAGUGCUAUUCACAGUACAGACCUCAUAGAGAUGUGCUACAGAAAUUGGCCAUGAAGGUUUAUUGAUUUUAUUUAUUCUUUCGAAAAACCAACUCUUCGCUUCAUUGAUUUUUUUGUAUUGUUCUCUUAGUCUCCAUGGCAUUGAUUUCUGCUCAGAUCUUUAUAAUUUCCUCUCUUGUACAAGCUUUGGGUUUGUUAUGGUCUUCUUUUUCUAGGAGCUUGAGGUUCACCAUUAAAGUUGUUUAUUUGAGAACUCUGUGUUUUCCGAAUAUGGGCAUUCACUGCUAUGAAUUUCCCUCGUAGAACUGCUUUCAUUGUGUCCCACGGAUUCCUGUAUGUUGUACUGGCAUUAUCAUUUACUUGUAGAAACUAUCUAAUUUCUUCUGUGACCCAUUGGUUGUUCAGGAGGGUGUUAUUCAGUUUCCAUGUGUUUGUGGGGGUUUUGCAGUUUCUUAUGUUAUUGAUCUCCAAUUGUAUUGCACUAUGGUCUGAUAAUAUACAGGGGGU